GAUUUCUGGCUUGGUGCGCGCCGUCCGCUGCGGUUACGUAGUGUGUGCGGUUGUGCGCCUGCCAUCUUUCUAGACAUCAUGCUGCGCCCUUCACUGGGUGGCAGGUGGUGGCUGGAUCUUUUACUUUGAAAAAAUUAGAGUGUUCAAAGCAGGCUUGCGCUAUGAAUACAUUAGCAUGGAAUAAUAAUUUAGGACUUUAUUCCUAUUUAUUGGUUUCUGGAGUAGAGUAAUGAUUGAUAGGGAUAGUUGGGGGUGCUAGUAUUCAUCGGCCAGAGGUGAAAUUCUUGGAUUCGAUGAAGACUAACUAAUGCGAAAGCAUU
RNAcentral lists this ribosomal RNA (320 nucleotides) under uncultured Eocercomonas. Its description in RNAcentral is "SSU rRNA". The stretch from base 87 to 320 matches the Rfam family "Eukaryotic small subunit ribosomal RNA", at positions 718 to 955 of the family's 1831-position model. The record is from RNAcentral. Lineage: Eukaryota; Cercozoa; Cercomonadida; Cercomonadidae.